The sequence is a ribosomal RNA, 437 nucleotides long. It matches the Rfam family "Bacterial small subunit ribosomal RNA", at positions 341 to 792 of the family's 1533-position model.
ACGGGAGGCAGCAGUGGGGGAUAUUGGGCAAUGGACGAAAGUCUGACCCAGCGACGCCGCGUGAGGGAAGAAGGUCUUCGGAUUGUAAACCUCUUUUAGCAGGGAAGAAGAAAGUGACGGUACCUGCAGAAGAAGUCACGGCUAACUACGUGCCAGCAGCCGCGGUAAUACGUAGGUGGCGAGCGUUAUCCGGAAUUACUGGGUGUAAAGGGUGUGUAGGCGGGGAAGCAAGUCAGAUGUGAAAAUUAUGGGCUCAACCCAUAACCUGCAUUUGAAACUGUUUUUCUUGAGAGUCGGAGAGGUAAACGGAAUUCCUGGUGUAGUAGUGAAAUGCGUAGAUAUUAGGAGGAACACCAGUGGCGAAGGCGGUUUACUGGACCACAACUGACGCUGAGGCACGAAAGCGUGGGGAGCAAACAGGAUUAGAUACCCUGGUA